UAAAGCUAGCCGCUACGUACUUAAGUAGUCUUGAGAGGUGAUGUCGACGACGAGGGUGUGGUUUAUCCGUGUGCUUUCCUUGGUGAUGCUGCUGCUCACUCUGAUGCUGCUCCUUGUCAUCGCCGAUCCCGUCGCCUGCUUCCACUGCCAAAAUUGCGGUCGGGGCAAUUGUAAAUGAAAUAUUUCAUUUAAUCUGCUAAUUAAGGAGAUGAACAUUCAAAGAAUUGUCAGUAUAAAUGGAAACAUGCCUUCUGAACAAUAAAACGUAGACAGGAGAAGGAUGUGAAGAACUGCAUUGUCUGGAUUUUCCUGUAUAUGUAGAAAUUGGAAUAUGUAUCGGUAUAUAGAAAUGUAUGUACUUUAAUUUAGAACACGAUAUUAAGUGGUUAUAUUACUUGAAACAUUAUUUAAAAAUAGUAUACUCAUUGUAUAUGGAUGUAGUAUAUACUGCAUACAAUUGUUGCAUCC
This is a long non-coding RNA of Oryza brachyantha (malo sina), 468 nucleotides long. RefSeq lists it as uncharacterized. The transcript has 3 exons. The record is from RefSeq and is a predicted model, not a curated record. Lineage: Eukaryota; Viridiplantae; Streptophyta; Magnoliopsida; Poales; Poaceae.